AUCCAGUCGACCAAUUCCGAAUAGGGCGAAACGCGCGUCCUGGAU
RNAcentral lists this non-coding RNA (45 nucleotides) under Schistosoma mattheei. The record is from RNAcentral. Lineage: Eukaryota; Metazoa; Platyhelminthes; Trematoda; Strigeidida; Schistosomatidae.